AGGAAAAGACUUUGACCAGCUUCACAAAAGGCAGCAAAGGACUAUCAGAGAAAGAGAAUUCUGAGUGAGGGGUCUGGCCUAGGCCCGGGAUCGGACCAGGCUCCCUCAGGACCCUAUCCUUUCCUGCCCGGACCGUGAAUUCAUCUCCUUGAAGCCAUAACGUCCGAGCUGCUGGUGCAGGGCAGCCCUGGCCCUAGGCUUCCUACCCCUGGAAGCGAGAGGAUGAGAGGAGGCCGGCCCAGCUCCUUCUUUCAGGGUGGGGGGCAUUCAGCCUCCACUGUGUCUGUCUUUUCUUCCCUGGGGCUCCCCCUCGAGGCGAGGGGCCAUGCAUGUCUGGGGGACCCCUGCCCCCCAAAACCCCUCUGUCUGUCUCUGUCUCUUUGCUGUUUGUCCAAGACUCGGUGUCCCGACCCUUGUUCUUGCCGUGAAUGUCAAUGGGCCAAUCCUCUCUGUCCUUUCAGACACACACACACCUGUGUCCACCCCUUCUGUUCGCCACACCCCGCGUCUGGCCGGUCCCCCCACCGCUGCUGCUAUCAACGCCAGAAUAAACACACUCCGUGGGUCUCACUCCAC
RNAcentral lists this long non-coding RNA (576 nucleotides) under Pongo abelii (Sumatran orangutan). RNAcentral describes it as "lincRNA". The record is from RNAcentral. Lineage: Eukaryota; Metazoa; Chordata; Mammalia; Primates; Hominidae.